CUUAUCAGUACUGGCAGGACCAUCUUUCCGUGGCUGGCGCUUACUAGCAUCAUCAUUUUCACGCAUGGAAAGAGAUAUCCUCCCAUUCUCAGUGUUUACUUCAACUAACCUCACCUGCACCUCUUGUCCAACAGAAACAACACUUGCAACAUCCUUAACAAAGCUGUUGCUCAACCUGGAAACAUGCACCAGUCCAUCUGUGAAAGCUCCAAAAUCAACAAAAGCACCAAAUGGUUGGAUUGAUCGUACUUUCCCAGUAAACAUUGCACCAGGAAUAAGCUCCUCAUUCUUUACAGGUGGCAUCUCACUUUUCCUAACAGGUCUUGCUCGUUUUGAUUGAGUUGGAGGAGUAGAAUCUGGUUGGCUAGUCGAAUCUUCACUUGUUUCAACGGCAUCUGAAGGUAUUUCGGAUCCUCCACUGGAAACUUUUGUCACAGAAGAAUCGGAUUCCUCCACUGCCACAUCAGUCCCUGCGGUUGAUAAACAAAUUCCCAGUUUUCCAUGUAAGGCAUACCCUGUUCCGUAUUUUCGAAAUGAAGUAACAGAGGUUGAUAGAGGUAGGAUGAAUCUCUGAGAGGGUAAAGCAUAUCUCGUGUGUUUCCUUGAUGAACUGCAUCUUGUCAAACUAGUGUUCUUCCUUACUGUACAGGCAGCUCCAGGGAUGAAUGUAAUGUUGCUAACAGAAUAUGGGAUCAC
Molecule: long non-coding RNA, 696 nt
Filed under: Gossypium barbadense (sea-island cotton)
Lineage: Eukaryota; Viridiplantae; Streptophyta; Magnoliopsida; Malvales; Malvaceae
Description: long non-coding RNA (GBAR_LNC005061)
Source: RNAcentral